UACGAAGGGGGCUAGCGUUGCUUGGAAUCACUGGGCGUAAAGGGUGCGUAGGCGGGUCUUUAAGUCAGGGGUGAAAUCCCGGAGCUCAACUCCAGAACUGCCUUUGAUACUGAGGAUCUUGAGUCCGGGAGAGGUGAGUGGAACUGCGAGUGUAGAGGUGAAAUUCGUAGAUAUUCGCAAGAACACCAGUGGCGAAGGCGGCUCACUGGCCCGGUACUGACGCUGAGGCACGAAAGCGUGGGGAGCAAACAGG
This 253-nucleotide ribosomal RNA is filed under the name uncultured bacterium. RNAcentral describes it as "partial 16S ribosomal RNA". It matches the Rfam family "Bacterial small subunit ribosomal RNA", at positions 524 to 776 of the family's 1533-position model. The record is from RNAcentral.